GAUGAACGCUAGCUACAGGCUUAACACAUGCAAGUCGAGGGGCAGCAUGGUCUUAGCUUGCUAAGGCCGAUGGCGACCGGCGCACGGGUGAGUAACACGUAUCCAACCUGCCGUCUACUCUUGGACAGCCUUCUGAAAGGAAGAUUAAUACAAGAUGGCAUCAUGAGUCCGCAUGUUCACAUGAUUAAAGGUAUUCCGGUAGACGAUGGGGAUGCGUUCCAUUAGAUAGUAGGCGGGGUAACGGCCCACCUAGUCUUCGAUGGAUAGGGGUUCUGAGAGGAAGGUCCCCGACAUUGGAACUGAGACACGGUCCAAACUCCUACGGGAGGCAGCAGUGAGGAAUAUUGGUCAAUGGGCGCAGGCCUGAACCAGCCAAGUAGCGUGAAGGAUGCCUGCCCUAUGGGUUGUAAACUUCUUUUAUAAGGAAUAAAGUCGGGUAUGGAUACCCGUUUGCAUGUACUUUAUGAAUAAGGAUCGGCUAACUCCGUG
RNAcentral lists this ribosomal RNA (489 nucleotides) under uncultured bacterium. Its description in RNAcentral is "partial 16S ribosomal RNA". It matches the Rfam family "Bacterial small subunit ribosomal RNA", at positions 28 to 507 of the family's 1533-position model. The record is from RNAcentral.